UAUUCAAUAUUGAAAUUAAUUCCACUUGUAGUCGCAGUAUUUAGGGGCACUGACGCUUCGACCCUCCAAUGCAACGGAAAAAGGUAAGGCCUUUUUAGUCUUCUCUCUGUAGCUUUUCAGCAGGGCUCUCGACAUGAACUUUUCUUCACUCUCGCUUGAUUCACCAAUUCACAACCGCUCCUUCAAUCUCUCACAAAACCCUAAAAUCGUCAGAACUAAAUUACUUAACUUCAGACUCUCGUUUCAUUUCCUUAGUAAUUCACCUCAUCGAAAACGCUUCAGAAACAUUUCUUCUAAAGUUCAGCUGAGAGACGACAAUUCGGCUGUGCAUCCAUUGGUUGUCAGGUCUCUUGUGAGGACGAGAGUUUCAUCGAACGACAAGCAGUUCGGUUUGGUACCAGAGCAGAAUGGAAUACGGGCGCCGAAUUUUGCUGAGUUUAUUACUUCGGAGAGAGUCAAAGUGGUCGCGAUGCUUGCUUUGGCACUGGCGCUCUGUAAUGCCGAUCGAGUUGUCAUGUCGGUCGCGAUUAUACCAUUGUCGCUUGCUCACGGCUGGAGCCGAUCGUUUUCCGGUAUUGUUCAGUCAUCUUUCCUCUGGGGAUACCUGGUCUCACCAAUAGCCGGAGGGACUUUGGUGGAUUAUUAUGGUGGUAAGGUGGUCAUGGCAUGGGGUGUGGCAUUAUGGUCAUUAGCUACUUUUCUUACUCCUUGGGCAGCAGACACUUCUUUAUGGGCUCUGUUGGCCAUGCGAGCUGUUCUUGGGAUUGCAGAAGGUGUGGCUCUUCCUUCCAUGAACAACAUGGUGGCAAGAUGGUUUCCACAAACAGAACGAGCCAGAGCUGUUGGAAUUGCAAUGGGCGGAUUUACAUUUGGAAAUGCUAUAGGACUCAUGCUUUCCCCAAUUCUAAUGUCAAAAGCUGGUAUUUUUGGGCCAUUUGUAAUUUUUGGGUUAUCUGGAUUUCUGUGGGUUUUGGUUUGGUUGUCUGCAACAUCAAGUACUCCUGAUCAACAUCCCCAGAUAUCAAAAUAUGAACUGGAGUACAUACUGGACAGGAAGCAGAAGCCCCUAGUGAUGGAGAAUAAACCUAAGACAAAGAAAGUGAUUCCCCCUUUUGGCCGGUUGCUAUCUAAAAUGCCAACAUGGUCCCUUAUCAUUGCCAAUGCCAUGCAUAGCUGGGGCUUUUUUGUUAUCCUUACCUGGAUGCCAAUCUACUUUAACUCAGUGUAUCAUGUUGACCUGAGACAAGCAGCAUGGUUUAGUGCCGUUCCAUGGAGUGUUAUGGCAUUCAUGGGAUACAUUGGUGGUUUAUGGUCAGAUACAUUGAUACAUAAUGGCACAAGUAUGACUUUGACUCGCAAGAUUAUGCAGUCAGUUGGCUUUAUUGGUCCUGGGAUUGCUCUUAUUGGUUUAACUGCAGCCAGAAGUCCAUUUAUUGCGUCUUCUUGGCUUACUUUAGCUGUUGGGCUGAAAUCUUUCAGUCACUCUGGUUUUCUUGUGAAUCUUCAGGAAAUUGCUCCCCAGUACUCUGGUGUUUUACAUGGAAUAUCAAAUACUGCUGGAACAUUUGCAGCCAUUCUAGGAACUGUUGGAGCUGGGUUUUUUGUUGAACUGGUGGGUUCAUUCCAAGGAUUUUUGUUGCUUACAUCGCUCUUAUAUUUUCUCUCCGCCCUUUUCUACAUCAUCUUUUCUACUUCCGAGAGAGUCAGUUUCAAUUAAACUGCUCAAACACCCCAAUCUCAUUGGGUUGAACCUCUUAUCUCUUCCUUACUUGGGAAGAAUGUAUUGUAGGGUUUAGCCACUAAGAAGCUGCAGGGCCUUAUGGUAACUUUUUGCUUUGUCAGUUUGUUGAACAAGUUUAAACGCCACUGCCGAACACCAGAAAAUUGCAAAGACUCAGAUGCUGCAAUUAGAGUAGGACUGGAAAAUUGCACAGAAUGUUGAGCAGUCAAAUCUGAUGUAAAUAUAAUAUUUCUCUCCUUUUAAAAAAAUAAAAGAAAAUUGUAGUAUAUGAUUUUCACAUACCUCAUGAGGGUUUGGUUUUCUGGUGCGGUCGGGCAAGUAUGAUACUGGGUGCUUCAAUUGUGACUGUUCAAUUAAGUUUAACUUUUGGGUUGCCA
RNA transcript from Mangifera indica (mango), 2118 nucleotides. It is a transcript of the gene named probable anion transporter 4, chloroplastic, with no coding region annotated. The record is from RefSeq and is a predicted model, not a curated record. The transcript is spliced from 10 exons. Lineage: Eukaryota; Viridiplantae; Streptophyta; Magnoliopsida; Sapindales; Anacardiaceae.